This 379-nucleotide long non-coding RNA is filed under the name Vigna radiata. RNAcentral's name for it is "long non-coding RNA (VRAD_LNC012612)". Lineage: Eukaryota; Viridiplantae; Streptophyta; Magnoliopsida; Fabales; Fabaceae. The record is from RNAcentral.
UUGGAGGGUGAAAAGAGAAAUAAGUAUUUAAAUUGCCUUAGGUCCCGACUCCUAAGCGAUGUCGAGAUGUCGAACUAGUGGGCGUGGUAUGAACAUAAGCCUCACUAGUCAAGGUCUAAGGGGAAUGAUUGUUUAUCCCUAAUUGAGGGCUUAAGGGACUGAUGGUUCAUCUUAAAACGUUGUUAUCAGCUCCACGAUGGGUGUCAAUGUUCUGAUCUCAAGUCCAUCGAAUGACAUCGUUAGGGUUAAUCACCCCUCAUCUAAGGUAUUAUGAACUUUUGGACUUUGUGCUCCAUUAUGGUUUUGUCCAUAAAAGGUGUCUCGAAAGGUGGAAAUAGAAAGAGGUAUUUAAAUUGCCUUUAGCCUCGACUCCUAAGUA